RNAcentral lists this ribosomal RNA (4589 nucleotides) under Moraxella sp. ALBL_026. RNAcentral's name for it is "bacterial LSU rRNA". The stretch from base 197 to 3301 matches the Rfam family "Bacterial large subunit ribosomal RNA". Lineage: Bacteria; Pseudomonadati; Pseudomonadota; Gammaproteobacteria; Moraxellales; Moraxellaceae. The record is from RNAcentral.
ACGGCGGUGUUUGGCACCUCGAUGUCGGCUCAUCUCAUCCUGGGGCUGAAGCAGGUCCCAAGGGUAUGGCUGUUCGCCAUUAAAGAGGUACGCGAGCUGGGUUUAGAACGUCGUGAGACAGUUCGGUCCCUAUCUACCGUUCCAGUCCAACGUUAAUCGGGGCUGGGUGAGUCGACCCCUAAGGCGAGGCCGAAAGGCGUAGUCGAUGGGAAAUCGGUUAAUAUUCCGAUACUUGUUUAUGAUGCGAUGAAGGACGUGACAGCCUGCGAAAAGCGUCGGGGAGGCGGCAAUAUCCUGUGAUCCGGCGAUAUCUGAAUGGGGAAACCCACCUACCAUAAGGUAGGUACCCCGCUAUAUUUUAUAGCGGGGGGCAAACCGGGAGAAGUGAAACAUCUCAGUAACCCGAGGAAAAGACAUCAAUAGAGAUUCCCCUAGUAGCGGCGAGCGAACGGGGAGGAGCCGACUGAUUAUAAUUUAGAGGAAUGACUUGGAAAGGUCAAUCGUAGAGGGUGAUAAUCCCGUACUCGAAAGGUUAUAAGAAGCAUAUUAAGUAGGGCGGAACACGAGAAAUUCUGUCUGAAGAUGGGGGGACCAUCCUCCAAGGCUAAAUACUCCUGACUGACCGAUAGUGAACCAGUACCGUGAGGGAAAGGCGAAAAGAACCCCUGUGAGGGGAGUGAAAUAGAACCUGAAACCGUGUGCAUACAAGCAGUCGGAGCCCCGCUACUUAAUUAUUUUGGAAUGAUAAUGUUCUACGUAUAUAUACUCAAAGGUGAAGAUGGUUCGCAUUAUUGUGGAUACACAUCAGACCUAAGACAACGAUUUGCCGCCCAUAACAGUGGUGGAAACAAAUCGACCAGUUACCAGCAAUGGCAACUACUAUACUAUGAAGCAUAUCAAACAAAACAAUUAGCAAUGAGAAGAGAGCAAGCGCUCAAACAUCAUGGCAAAGUUUACCAGUCCUUAAUCAAGCGACUGGCAGAAUAAUUAAGUAGCGGGGUGACGGCGUACCUUUUGUAUAAUGGGUCAGCGACUUAUAUUCUGUAGCAAGGUUAACCGAAUAGGGGAGCCGUAGGGAAACCGAGUCUUAAUAGGGCGUCUAGUUGCAGGGUAUAGACCCGAAACCGAGUGAUCUAUCCAUGAGCAGGUUGAAAGUGACGUAACAGUUACCGGAGGACCGAACCCACUGUCGUUGAAAAGCCAGGGGAUGACUUGUGGAUAGGGGUGAAAGGCUAAUCAAACUCGGUGAUAGCUGGUUCUCCCCGAAAGCUAUUUAGGUAGCGCCUCGGACGAACACCAUUGGGGGUAGAGCACUGUUUCGGCUAGGGGGUCAUCCCGACUUACCAAACCGAUGCAAACUCCGAAUACCGAUGAGUGAUAUCCGGGAGACAGACUGCGGGUGCUAACGUCCGUAGUCAAGAGGGAAACAACCCAGACCGCCAGCUAAGGCCCCAAAUUCCUAGUUAAGUGGGAAACGAUGUGGGAAGGCACAGACAGCUAGGAGGUUGGCUUAGAAGCAGCCAUCCUUUAAAGAAAGCGUAAUAGCUCACUAGUCGAGUCGGCCUGCGCGGAAGAUGUAACGGGGCUCAAACUAGGAGCCGAAGCUGCGGAUUUAAUUGUUUCAAUUAAGUGGUAGGGGAGCAUUGUGUAAGCCUGUGAAGGUGUGUUGUAAAGCAUGCUGGAGGUAUCACAAGAGCGAAUGCUGACGUGAGUAACGACAAUGCGAGUGAAAAGCUCGCACGCCGGAAGACCAAGGGUUCCAGUCCAACGUUAAUCGGGGCUGGGUGAGUCGACCCCUAAGGCGAGGCCGAAAGGCGUAGUCGAUGGGAAAUCGGUUAAUAUUCCGAUACUUGUUUAUGAUGCGAUGGAGGGACGGAGAAGGUUAUGCCAGCCUGGCGAUGGUUGUCCAGGUGGAAGGAUGUAGUUAGGUUUAGUAGGCAAAUCCGCUAGACUAUUAAUGAGAUCUGAUAGCAAGCUGUACUUGUACAGCGAAGUGGCAAAUACCCUGCUUCCAGGAAAAGCUUCUAAGCGAUAGUCAUAAACAAAUCGUACCCUAAACCGACACAGGUGGUCAGGUAGAGAAUACCAAGGCGCUUGAGAGAACUCUGCUGAAGGAACUAGGCAAAAUGGUACCGUAACUUCGGGAGAAGGUACGCUGCCGAUGGUGAGUAGUCACGCACUACAAAGCUAUUGGCAGUCGCAGAUACCAGGCCGCUGCAACUGUUUAUUAAAAACACAGCACUCUGCAAACACGAAAGUGGACGUAUAGGGUGUGAUGCCUGCCCGGUGCUGGAAGGUUAAUUGAUGGGGUUAGCGGUAAGGCGAAGCUCUUGAUCGAAGCCCCAGUAAACGGCGGCCGUAACUAUAACGGUCCUAAGGUAGCGAAAUUCCUUGUCGGGUAAGUUCCGACCUGCACGAAUGGCAUAAUGAUGGCGGCGCUGUCUCCAGCAGAGACUCAGUGAAAUCGAAAUCGCAGUGAAGAUGCUGUGUACCCGCGGCUAGACGGAAAGACCCCGUGAACCUUUACUACAGCUUUACAUUGAACUUUGACCUUACCUGUGUAGGAUAGGUGGGAGGCUUUGAAGCAGGCACGCCAGUGUCUGUGGAGCCAUCCUUGAAAUACCACCCUGGUAAUGUUGGGGUUCUAACUCAAGCUUAACAGAGCUGAGGACAAUGUAUGGUGGGUAGUUUGACUGGGGCGGUCUCCUCCUAAAGAGUAACGGAGGAGUACGAAGGUGCGCUCAGAACGGUCGGAAAUCGUUCGAAGAGUAUAAAGGCAAAAGCGCGCUUAACUGCGAGACCCACAAGUCGAGCAGAUACGAAAGUAGGUCUUAGUGAUCCGGUGGUUCUGUAUGGAAGGGCCAUCGCUCAACGGAUAAAAGGUACUCUGGGGAUAACAGGCUGAUACCGCCCAAGAGUUCAUAUCGACGGCGGUGUUUGGCACCUCGAUGUCGGCUCAUCUCAUCCUGGGGCUGAAGCAGGUCCCAAGGGUAUGGCUGUUCGCCAUUUAAAGAGGUACGCGAGCUGGGUUUAGAACGUCGUGAGACAGUUCGGUCCCUAUCUACCGUGGGCGUUGGAAAUUUGAGAGGAUCUGCUCCUAGUACGAGAGGACCAGAGUGGACGAACCUCUGGUGUUUCGGUUGUCACGCCAGUGGCAUUGCCGAGUAGCUAUGUUCGGAUGGGAUAACCGCUGAAAGCAUCUAAGCGAUAGUCAUAAACAAAUCGUACCCUAAACCGACACAGGUGGUCAGGUAGAGAAUACCAAGGCGCUUGAGAGAACUCUGCUGAAGGAACUAGGCAAAAUGGUACCGUAACUUCGGGAGAAGGUACGCUGCCGAUGGUGAGUAGUCACGCACUACAAAGCUAUUGGCAGUCGCAGAUACCAGGCCGCUGCAACUGUUUAUUAAAAACACAGCACUCUGCAAACACGAAAGUGGACGUAUAGGGUGUGAUGCCUGCCCGGUGCUGGAAGGUUAAUUGAUGGGGUCAGCCGCAAGGCGAAGCUCUUGAUCGAAGCCCCAGUAAACGGCGGCCGUAACUAUAACGGUCCUAAGGUAGCGAAAUUCCUUGUCGGGUAAGUUCCGACCUGCACGAAUGGCAUAAUGAUGGCGGCGCUGUCUCCAGCAGAGACUCAGUGAAAUCGAAAUCGCAGUGAAGAUGCUGUGUACCCGCGGCUAGACGGAAAGACCCCGUGAACCUUUACUACAGCUUUACAUUGAACUUUGACCUUACCUGUGUAGGAUAGGUGGGAGGCUUUGAAGCAGGCACGCCAGUGUCUGUGGAGCCAUCCUUGAAAUACCACCCUGGUAAUGUUGGGGUUCUAACUCAAGCUUAACAGAGCUGAGGACAAUGUAUGGUGGGUAGUUUGACUGGGGCGGUCUCCUCCUAAAGAGUAACGGAGGAGUACGAAGGUGCGCUCAGAACGGUCGGAAAUCGUUCGAAGAGUAUAAAGGCAAAAGCGCGCUUAACUGCGAGACCCACAAGUCGAGCAGAUACGAAAGUAGGUCUUAGUGAUCCGGUGGUUCUGUAUGGAAGGGCCAUCGCUCAACGGAUAAAAGGUACUCUGGGGAUAACAGGCUGAUACCGCCCAAGAGUUCAUAUCGACGGCGGUGUUUGGCACCUCGAUGUCGGCUCAUCUCAUCCUGGGGCUGAAGCAGGUCCCAAGGGUAUGGCUGUUCGCCAUUAAAGAGGUACGCGAGCUGGGUUUAGAACGUCGUGAGACAGUUCGGUCCCUAUCUACCGUUCCAGUCCAACGUUAAUCGGGGCUGGGUGAGUCGACCCCUAAGGCGAGGCCGAAAGGCGUAGUCGAUGGGAAAUCGGUUAAUAUUCCGAUACUUGUUUAUGAUGCGAUGGAGGGACGGAGAAGGUUAUGCCAGCCUGGCGAUGGUUGUCCAGGUGGAAGGAUGUAGUUAGGUUUAGUAGGCAAAUCCGCUAGACUAUUAAUGAGAUCUGAUAGCAAGCUGUACUUGUACAGCGAAGUGGCAAAUACCCUGCUUCCAGGAAAAGCUUCUAAGCGAUAGUCAUAAACAAAUCGUACCCUAAACCGACACAGGUGGUCAGGUAGAGAAUACCAAGGCGCUUGAGAGAAC